Non-coding RNA from Kwoniella botswanensis, 98 nucleotides. NCBI's taxonomy places the organism in Eukaryota, Fungi, Basidiomycota, Tremellomycetes, Tremellales, Cryptococcaceae. The record is from the annotation of a RefSeq genome assembly.
GGUGAAAUCCGAUAGUGGUUAUUCGGUCACACUCGAACGAAUUCGAAGACUUUCAUGUGAUGCCGUAAGGCGCGUGAGUUCAAAUCUCACUUUCACCU